RNAcentral lists this ribosomal RNA (334 nucleotides) under uncultured Treponema sp. RNAcentral describes it as "bacterial SSU rRNA". It matches the Rfam family "Bacterial small subunit ribosomal RNA", at positions 354 to 679 of the family's 1533-position model. The record is from RNAcentral. Lineage: Bacteria; Pseudomonadati; Spirochaetota; Spirochaetia; Treponematales; Treponemataceae.
CUAAGGAAUAUUUCCGCAAUGGACGAAAGUCUGACGGAGCGACGCCGCGUGAACGAAGAAGGCCGGAAGGUUGUAAAGUUCUUUUGAAACUGAAGAAUAAGUAUUGCAGGGAAUGGCGAUAUGGUGACGGUAGGUUUUGAAUAAGCAACGGCUAAUUACGUGCCAGCAGCCGCGGUAACACGUAAGUUGCGAGCGUUGUUCGGAAUUAUUGGGCGUAAAGGGCAUGUAGGCGGUUUUGCAAGCUUGGUGUGAAAUGCAUAGGCUCAACCUAUGAACUGCAUUGAGAACUACAAGACUUGAGUUACUGAGGUGGAACUGGAAUUCCAGGUGUAGG